AUGGUAGGAUAGAGGCCUACCAUGGUUUUAACGGGUAACGGGGAAUUAGGGUUCGAUUCCGGAGAGGGAGCCUGAGAAACGGCUACCACAUCCAAGGAAGGCAGCAGGCGCGCAAAUUACCCAAUCCCGACACGGGGAGGUAGUGACAAUAAAUAACAAUAUGGGGCUCUUACGAGUCUUGUAAUUGGAAUGAGUACAAUUUAAAUCUCUUAACGAGGAACAAUUGGAGGGCAAGUCUGGUGCCAGCAGCCGCGGUAAUUCCAGCUCCAAUAGCGUAUAUNAAAGUUGUUGCAGUUAAAAAGCUCGUAGUUGAAUUUCGGGGUUUAUCCGUCGGUCGGGCUUUCGGGUCUGUACUGGCGUGAUGGAUUCCUACCUUCUGAAUAACCGGCACGUCAUUAAUUUGGUGCGCCGGGGAAGCAGGACUGUUACCUUGAAAAAAUUAGAGUGCUUAAAGCAGGCUUAUGCCUGAAUACAUUAGCAUGGAAUAAUGAAAUAGGACGGCAUGGUUCUAUUUUGUUGGUUUCUAGGAUCACCGUAAUGAUUAAUAGGGAUAGUUGGGGGCAUUAGUAUUCAAUUGUCAGAGGUGAAAUUCUUGGAUUUAUUGAAGACUAACUUCUGCGAAAGCAUUUGCCAAGGAUGUUUUCAUUAAUCAAGAACGAAAGUUAGGGGAUCGAAGACGAUCAGAUACCGUCGUAGUCUUAACCAUAAACUAUGCCGACUAGGGAUCGGACGAUGUUAAUUUUUUAAUGACUCGUUCGGCGCCUUACGGGAAACCAAAGUGUUUGGG
Molecule: ribosomal RNA, 787 nt
Filed under: uncultured Acaulospora
Lineage: Eukaryota; Fungi; Glomeromycota; Glomeromycetes; Diversisporales; Acaulosporaceae
Description: SSU rRNA
Rfam family: Eukaryotic small subunit ribosomal RNA
Source: RNAcentral